RNAcentral lists this long non-coding RNA (303 nucleotides) under Carica papaya (papaya). Its description in RNAcentral is "long non-coding RNA (CPAP_LNC009315)". Lineage: Eukaryota; Viridiplantae; Streptophyta; Magnoliopsida; Brassicales; Caricaceae. The record is from RNAcentral.
GAUUAAUUGGAAAAAUAUAGAGCUAUAAUAGACUGUGAAAAUAAAAUUGUAACUUUACGAUCCCUGAAAUAAAAGUUGUUAUCAUUUUCCUAACAAUUUAACAUGAAUAUGAAUGCUGAUCCUGUUGUGUGUUUCAUACCCAUUGUUUGUAAUUUUUCUAACGUCUUUCUCAUUGAAUUCCCUGGUCUACCUCCCCACGUGAGGUAGAGUUCCUAAUUGAAUUAUUUUCCUGAACCCAACUAAUCUCAAAGCCUGCGUAUCGCAUGAGUCGCACUAAACUAACCGAACUAGAACAUCAACUUU